Molecule: ribosomal RNA, 504 nt
Filed under: uncultured bacterium
Lineage: Bacteria
Description: partial 16S ribosomal RNA
Rfam family: Bacterial small subunit ribosomal RNA
Source: RNAcentral
GAUAAACGCUAGCGGCAGGCUUAACACAUGCAAGUCGAGGGGCAGCAUAGAUUGUAGCAAUACAAUUGGUGGCGACCGGCGCACGGGUGCGUAACGCGUAUGCAACCUACCCGUCACAGGGGGAUAAUCCGGAGAAAUCUGGUCUAAUACCCCAUAACAUAUGGAUCGGCAUCGGUUCAUGUUGAAAUUUUCGGAGGUGACGGAUGGGCAUGCGUAGCAUUAGCUUGUUGGUGAGGUAACGGCUCACCAAGGCGACGAUGCUUAGGGGGACUGAGAGGUUUUCCCCCCACACUGGUACUGAGACACGGACCGGACGCCGACGGGAGGCAGCAGUGAGGAAUAUUGGUCAAUGGGCGCAAGCCUGAACCAGCCAUGCCGCGUGCAGGAUGACGGCUCUAUGAGUUGUAAACUGCUUUUGUACGAGGGUAAAGUGGGUUACGUGUAACCUUUUGAAAGUAUCGUACGAAUAAGGAUCGGCUAACUCCGUGCCAGCCGCCGCCGUAA